CUCUAUCUCUCUAUCUACUAUUCUCUCUGGAACCUUCCACCUCCCCUCCUCUCUGAUGAGUUGCCUUCAUCUUCUCCGUUCACUUUCUGACCUGAAUCCAUGGUGGUUUCACCACCCACCCGUCUACUAUGGCUCCUCAAGCUUUAUUACUAAAUUCCCAUGACUUGACCACAGAGAGCUGAAUCUGGACCUUUCUCAAUUCAAGUUCUACGGCCAUCUCCGGCUCGAAUCCGGCGUAUCCUAGCCCUAUGAGUCCAUCUCUAACUUGUUCGACUUGGACCAGCCCUUUUUUCAAGCCACUCUCAUUUCUAUGGUUUCGCUGAAACCCUAUGCCAUUUCGAGGUUUCUUAUUUCUCUCUAGAUAUGCUUUAAAUCAGUGUUACUUCUGAGGUUUUCAAAGGAUUUCCUAUAUCUUUUUCAAUUUUUUUCUUUCAAAAACUGUUCAUCUUCUCAGACUUAGGGUUUCUUCGAUGAGCUCCCUUCAUCUUCUCUGUCCACUUUUUGACCUGAAUCCAUAGUGGUUCACCACCCACCAAUCUCCUAUGGCUCCUCAAGCCUGAUUAGUGAAGAACCAUGACUUGACCACGAAAAAUUGAAUCUGGACUUUUGCCGAUUCAAUUUCUACAGCCAUCUCCGGCUCAAAUCCAGCGUAUCCUAGCCCUAUGAGUCCAUCUCUGACUCGUUCGACUCGGACCAUCCCCUUUUACAUGCCUCUCUCAUUUCUAGGAUUUCUCUAAAAUCCUAUGUCAUUUCGAGGUUUCUUAUUUCUUACUAGAUCUGGUUCAAACUUGUGCCAUUUCUGUGGGUUUCAAAGGAUUUCCUACAUUUUUUCAAAUUUUUGCUUUCAAAAACUGUUCGUCUUCUCAUGCUUAGGGUUUCUUUGAUUUUUUACUCAUUCUACUGUGACUUUCGCGUGGUGUUCUCGUUGUAUUUGCUCUUCUAUAACUCCUAGGUGUUUUACCGUGAUUUCUAUGUGUUUUCCUUUUACUAUGUUUCCUUCUAAGAUUUUCUGCUGAUCUUUUUUACUGUGUUUUCUCUCAUUAUGUUUUCAAGAAACGUUUUCCUUUGGAUUUUUUGAGUUUACUUUGCGUGGUUUGUAUGAUUUUGUCUUUACACGUGAUUAACGGAAUAAACCCUAGAAUUUGGGGUUUUUUUGGAUUACUUGUAUGUGAUUUAUUUGAUUCUCUUCUCUGAACUAGUUGGGUUUCCAAAACCCUAAUUUCUGCAUUCAUGAAGUUGUUUCGUCUAUGUUUCUACAUGUGAUUCUGACUUCUGCUAAACUUUGUGGAGCCUGUUGCCUGACCUUUUGCAUGAUCUCUAAUAUUUUUCUUUUUAGCUCUAUCCCUCUACUUACUGAUCC
RNAcentral lists this long non-coding RNA (1360 nucleotides) under Nicotiana benthamiana. RNAcentral describes it as "long non-coding RNA (NBEN_LNC035592)". Lineage: Eukaryota; Viridiplantae; Streptophyta; Magnoliopsida; Solanales; Solanaceae. The record is from RNAcentral.